UACGGAGGAUGCAGGCGUUAUCCGGAUUUAUUAGGUUUAAAGGGUGCGUAGGCGGGCGAAUAAGUCAGUGGUGAAAUACUGCCGCUUAACGGUAGCAUUGCCAUAGAUACUGUUUGUCUUGAGUAUAGUUGAGGUGGGCGGAAUGUGUCAAGUAGCGGUGAAAUGCAUAGAUAUGACACAGAACACCGAUUGCGGAGGCAGCUCACUAAGCUAUUACUGACGCUGAUGCACGAAAGCGUGGGGAUCAAACAGGAUUAGAUACCCUGGUAGUCCACGCUGUAAACGAUGAUAACUCGUUGUUCGCGAUAUACAGUGAGCGACUGAGCGAAAGCAUUAAGUUAUCCACCUGGGGAGUACGACGGCAACGUUGAA
RNAcentral lists this ribosomal RNA (372 nucleotides) under uncultured bacterium. RNAcentral describes it as "bacterial SSU rRNA". It matches the Rfam family "Bacterial small subunit ribosomal RNA", at positions 524 to 898 of the family's 1533-position model. The record is from RNAcentral.